Molecule: ribosomal RNA, 478 nt
Filed under: Pseudomonas aeruginosa
Lineage: Bacteria; Pseudomonadati; Pseudomonadota; Gammaproteobacteria; Pseudomonadales; Pseudomonadaceae
Description: bacterial SSU rRNA
Rfam family: Bacterial small subunit ribosomal RNA
Source: RNAcentral
AUUGAACGCUGGCGGCAGGCCUAACACAUGCAAGUCGAGCGGAUGAAGGGAGCUUGCUCCUGGAUUCAGCGGCGGACGGGUGAGUAAUGCCUAGGAAUCUGCCUGGUAGUGGGGGAUAACGUCCGGAAACGGGCGCUAAUACCGCAUACGUCCUGAGGGAGAAAGUGGGGGAUCUUCGGACCUCACGCUAUCAGAUGAGCCUAGGUCGGAUUAGCUAGUUGGUGGGGUAAAGGCCUACCAAGGCGACGAUCCGUAACUGGUCUGAGAGGAUGAUCAGUCACACUGGAACUGAGACACGGUCCAGACUCCUACGGGAGGCAGCAGUGGGGAAUAUUGGACAAUGGGCGAAAGCCUGAUCCAGCCAUGCCGCGUGUGUGAAGAAGGUCUUCGGAUUGUAAAGCACUUUAAGUUGGGAGGAAGGGCAGUAAGUUAAUACCUUGCUGUUUUGACGUUACCAACAGAAUAAGCACCGCUAAUU